AGGAUUCAUCUUGGACCCAUAGAUUAUGUUUUCUUCGACAUAUUGCAUUUCAACAAUCUGGACUUGUAUGAACAUCUGACAAACAAAAACCUGUGUGCGAAAAUUAAUCUCCCUUCUCAGAUUUUGAUCAUAUCUCCAACCAAAAACAGACACUACUACAUAGGAACAAUCUUUCCUGCGGAUACUACAUUUAUUCAGAAGAUCUGAGCUUGCAAAUGACUUUGAAGAGAAGAUAAAACUGAAAUUUAUAGGCGCUGUUGUGGAUCUAUCAACGAUAUAGCAGUUUUUGA
This is a long non-coding RNA of Vigna angularis (adzuki bean), 290 nucleotides long. RefSeq lists it as uncharacterized. The record is from RefSeq and is a predicted model, not a curated record. The transcript is spliced from 3 exons. NCBI's taxonomy places the organism in Eukaryota, Viridiplantae, Streptophyta, Magnoliopsida, Fabales, Fabaceae.